This is a long non-coding RNA of Raphanus sativus (radish), 1495 nucleotides long. RefSeq lists it as uncharacterized. The transcript is spliced from 6 exons. NCBI's taxonomy places the organism in Eukaryota, Viridiplantae, Streptophyta, Magnoliopsida, Brassicales, Brassicaceae. The record is from RefSeq and is a predicted model, not a curated record.
UGGGCUUUAGGUGUUACGGAAGCAUAGGAGCCCAACAGAGAGAAACCUUUGUCGUCCUCAUCCGCCUUCCAUCGAAUUUUAGGGUUCAUCCUACUGUUCGAUCUCCGACGACGGCGUUGUUCACAUACCUCUCCGACGAAAACGUUGUUCAUAUACCUUAUCGCAGCCGACGUCUCUGUUGAUUUGCUUGAAGUUCAUCUCAACGAGUAUCAAAAACAGGCACCGUUACGGAACUUCUGCAUUCAAUUAUUUUCAUUAAUGCUCUAUUUAACUCUAUUUUCCCACUCAUCACACGAUCUGUCGUCCAAUACAUCCUCUCCUUCCUUCCGUUAUGAGAAUCUGCAGCUAUAAGUAUGUUGCAAAGAUAAAGAGGUCUCACAAAAAGCUGGGAAAGGAACUCUGAGAUGGGUUCGUUUGGACAAUCUAGAUUUUUAGCUAGUCAAUUCGAGUUGAGCACAUUGUGUUUGAAGUGGAUGUUUGUAAUACCAAAGCAAACUCCUAAGAUCAUUAGAUGGUGAUAACUUUAAUGGAAAUGAAUAAUAUAGUUGAAUGAAGCCAUCCCUUGAAUACUACAAUAACAACAGGUCAAAGAUGACAUCUCAUCUUCGGGAACAUCCGUCUUGGAAUGAGAAUCAUGCAUCAACGAUCGUGGUGGUUAUAUACUACAGGUUUGUUGAGGAAGCUCACCGAGCAUCAACACAUCACAUGUUGAAGCAGAGAGUAAUUAGAAUGGUAUCGGGAUUCAUAGCAAUGCAUGCUACAUAAGCUAGCAGAGAUGUCGAUUGCUGCCUUACUCCUUAGUCAGCGUCUUAUCUCUAAGGGAAGUAGACUCUUGGAGUUCUUUGAUAAACGGAUCAAGGUUGAGUGAUCACAUGGUGAUUGUUCUUGCUGAAGAAGCAGGGCAAGAGUUAAUGUGCGAAAGCAUGGAAUUUAACACGGACGCCUCUGAUUAAAAGCUUCUUAAAGAUGUCGGCUUCUGGCUUACCACAAAGCAUCAAGGUAAAAGUUAGAUUCAAACUUUCACUUAUGCCAUUUCAGAUAACUGUUACGAGGAUCAUUUUCAGAAGAUACAAAGUGGCUAAUGGGUUAGAGUAAGUGAGCUGGGUCACGAGUCUUUAACCUUCCAUGCAAAGUGAUAAUAAGAGAGAUCCUUAUCUAGAGAUUAGAUCACAAGAGGGGGAGGAUCAAUUUAAGAAGCAUUAACCGAGGAGAAGCAAGAGGAACCGGACUUUUUGAUAUUCCUCCAGCAACUAAAGAGAUCACUAAGUGAAGAUCAGAAAAGCAUUGUUUAAGAACUUCCAAAACAUAUAUAUUCAUGAUUUCCGUGAACUUUUGGCCAAAAGGAAAUAGUUGUAAGUUCUAGCUAGCGAUUUCACAUAUUUGUUGGCAAAUAUGCUAUGUUUUAUUAUUCUGUUUUAAAUUUUUAGUUUUGUCACCCUUUUGAACGUACACCACAUCAUGUGAUUAGGAAUGUGAUUUUCUUGGUUUAAACGGA